Molecule: ribosomal RNA, 763 nt
Filed under: uncultured archaeon
Lineage: Archaea
Description: bacterial SSU rRNA
Rfam family: Archaeal small subunit ribosomal RNA
Source: RNAcentral
UGAGUCUUUGCCAAAAAGACGUUUACGUUAUGCUCGUAGGCGUCGCCCAAGGAUGAGGCCGCGACCGAUCAGGUUGUUGGUGAGGUAAUGGCUCACCAAGCCUUUUACCGGUGCGGGCCGUGAGAGCGGGAGCCCGGAGAUGGGCACUGAGACAAGGGCCCAGGCCCUACGGGGCGCAGCAGUCGCGAAAACUUUGCAAUACACGAAAGUGUGACAGGGCUAUCCCGAGUGCCAUCCGCUGAGGAAGGCUUUUACCCAGUCUAGAACGCUGGGGGAAUAAGGAGAGGGCAAGUCUGGUGUCAGCCGCCGCGGUAAUACCAGCUCUCCGAGUGGUGUGGAUGUUUAUUGGGCCUAAAGCAUCCGUAGCUGGCUGAGUUAGUCCCUUGUUAAAUCCACCGAAUUAAUCGUUGGAUUGCGGGGGAUACUGCUCGGCUAGGGGACGAGAGAGGCAGACGGUAUUUCUGGGGUAGGGGUGAAAUCCUAUAAUCCCAGGAGGACCACCAGUGGCGAAGGCUGUCUGCUAGAACGCGCCCGACGGUGAGGGAUGAAAGCUGGGGGAGCGAACCGGAUUAGAUACCCGGGUAGUCCCAGCUGUAAACGAUGCAGACUAGGUGUUUGGACGGCCACGUGCCGUUCUAGUGCCGCAGGGAAGCUGUUAAGUCUGCCGCCUGGGGAGUACGAUCGCAAGAUUGAAACUUAAAGGAAUUGGCGGGGGAGCACCACAAGGGGUGAAGCUUGCGGUUUAAUUGGAUUCAACGCCGGG